RNAcentral lists this ribosomal RNA (253 nucleotides) under uncultured bacterium. RNAcentral describes it as "partial 16S ribosomal RNA". It matches the Rfam family "Bacterial small subunit ribosomal RNA", at positions 525 to 777 of the family's 1533-position model. The record is from RNAcentral.
ACGAAGGGGGCUAGCGUUGUUCGGAUUUACUGGGCGUAAAGCGCACGUAGGCGGAUUGUUAAGUCAGGGGUGAAAUCCUGGAGCUCAACUCCAGAACUGCCUUUGAUACUGGCAAUCUAGAGUCCGGAAGAGGUGAGUGGAACUCCUAGUGUAGAGGUGGAAUUCGUAGAUAUUAGGAAGAACACCAGUGGCGAAGGCGGCUCACUGGUCCGGUACUGACGCUGAGGUGCGAAAGCGUGGGGAGCAAACAGGA